Molecule: ribosomal RNA, 22 nt
Filed under: Paxillus involutus
Lineage: Eukaryota; Fungi; Basidiomycota; Agaricomycetes; Boletales; Paxillaceae
Description: partial 18S ribosomal RNA
Source: RNAcentral
ACCUGCGGAGGAUCAUUAUCGA